AAAAAAGCAGAGGUCUGUACUUUUCUCCUCUGAGCUGGCCUCUCGUAAACUUCAGGGAAAUUAUUUGCACCAUUAUUGGGUGAACCUUUGUAAAUUAUACUUGUGAAUAAAGGUUCAAUAAAUGUUGCGACAUUA
Non-coding RNA from Amborella trichopoda, 135 nucleotides. The record is from Rfam. Lineage: Eukaryota; Viridiplantae; Streptophyta; Magnoliopsida; Amborellales; Amborellaceae.